RNAcentral lists this ribosomal RNA (690 nucleotides) under uncultured bacterium. RNAcentral describes it as "bacterial SSU rRNA". It matches the Rfam family "Bacterial small subunit ribosomal RNA", at positions 59 to 749 of the family's 1533-position model. The record is from RNAcentral.
CAGUCGAACGAAGCACUUAUCUUUGAUUCUUCGGAUGAAGAGGUUUGCGACUGAGUGGCGGACGGGUGAGUAACGCGUGGGUAACCUGCCUCAUACAGGGGGAUAACAGUUAGAAAUGACUGCUAAUACCGCAUAAGACCACGGAGCCGCAUGGCUCAGUGGGAAAAACUCCGGUGGUAUGAGAUGGACCCGCGUCUGAUUAGGUAGUUGGUGGGGUAACGGCCUACCAAGCCAACGAUCAGUAGCCGACCUGAGAGGGUGACCGGCCACAUUGGGACUGAGACACGGCCCAAACUCCUACGGGAGGCAGCAGUGGGGAAUAUUGCACAAUGGGGGAAACCCUGAUGCAGCGACGCCGCGUGAGCGAAGAAGUAUUUCGGUAUGUAAAGCUCUAUCAGCAGGGAAGAAAAUGACGGUACCUGACUAAGAAGCACCGGCUAAAUACGUGCCAGCAGCCGCGGUAAUACGUAUGGUGCAAGCGUUAUCCGGAUUUACUGGGUGUAAAGGGAGCGUAGACGGCUGUGUAAGUCUGAAGUGAAAGCCCGGGGCUCAACCCCGGGACUGCUUUGGAAACUAUGCAGCUAGAGUGUCGGAGAGGUAAGUGGAAUUCCUGGUGUAGCGGUGAAAUGCGUAGAGAUCAGGAGGAACAUCGGUGGCGAAGGCGGCUUACUGGGCCUUUACUGACGCUGA